This 464-nucleotide ribosomal RNA is filed under the name uncultured bacterium. RNAcentral's name for it is "partial 16S ribosomal RNA". It matches the Rfam family "Bacterial small subunit ribosomal RNA", at positions 28 to 507 of the family's 1533-position model. The record is from RNAcentral.
GACGAACGCUGGCGGCGUGCUUAACACAUGCAAGUCGAACGGAAAGGCCCUGCUUGCAGGGUACUCGAGUGGCGAACGGGUGAGUAACACGUGGGUGAUCUGCCCUGCACUUCGGGAUAAGCCUGGGAAACUGGGUCUAAUACCGGAUAGGAGCCAUUUUUAGUGUGAUGGUUGUAAAGUUUUUUCGGUGUAGGAUGAGCUCGCGGCCUAUCAGCUUGUUGGUGGGGUAAUGGCCUACCAAGGCGGCGACGGGUAGCCGGCCUGAGAGGGUGGACGGCCACAUUGGGACUGAGAUACGGCCCAGACUCCUACGGGAGGCAGCAGUGGGGAAUAUUGCACAAUGGGCGCAAGCCUGAUGCAGCGACGCCGCGUGGGGGAUGACGGCCUUCGGGUUGUAAACUCCUUUCGCUAGGGACGAAGCUUUUGUGACGGUACCUAGAUAAGAAGCACCGGCUAACUACGUG